UGACCUAACACGGGAUAACGAAACCUGCACUGCUCCCAGCGCUUCCUCCCCGGCCCGUCGCGUCUGCGAGGUGAGGCCGGGAGGCGAGGGCUCUGCGCACGCGCAGCGCAGGCGCACUGGGAGCCGGUGCUGUUGCCUUCGGGUGACCACGGAUUCGCCAUCGGUUUUUACCUUAAAUAACUAAUUACUGGCCAUAUUUGGGAAGUGUUGAAAAAAAGCAGACAAUCUGAGGAUGAUGUGGACUUGGGGAUCCAAAGGCACAGGUGACAACAUCAAAACUACCUGCAAGUCUCACUUCAUGGAACACAACAGAAACUCUGCAU
RNAcentral lists this small RNA (323 nucleotides) under Pan troglodytes (chimpanzee). Its description in RNAcentral is "processed transcript". Lineage: Eukaryota; Metazoa; Chordata; Mammalia; Primates; Hominidae. The record is from RNAcentral.